This 4600-nucleotide long non-coding RNA is filed under the name Homo sapiens (human). Its description in RNAcentral is "non-protein coding PIK3CD-AS2:8". Lineage: Eukaryota; Metazoa; Chordata; Mammalia; Primates; Hominidae. The record is from RNAcentral.
ACACCCCCAGCCGGGAGAAGCGCCCGAGCUCACACGGGCGGCGGAGAGAGGAGUGGACGCUGCAAAUCCUCCCCGACCCCCGCUGUUCUCGCCCGGAGGCCCAGGACGCUGCCAGGCGGGGCCCUUGGGGUUCGCACCCUGAGCCCCAGAGCAGCCGCGGGACCCCGACGGCGCGCGCACGCUGGCUCUGGCCUAGGUUUCACCUUACAAUCAAUAAAUAGAAAGCGCCACCUGCAAAGCAAGGGAGGGCUGGUCGUCCACCAAACUGCUUUCCGCUCCCCGCUUUGCAAGGCAUCCGCAGAAAGGGCGGGGUACUGGACCCAGGUCACAGAGCCGGAGCCAGACUCACUCGAGUAAUUGGCCAGCCCGGGCUCUGGGCUCAAAUCCAGCCUGCUGGCUGUUCCCUAGCUGAUGGGCCUUUCCAUCGGGGGUUCCCUUAUAUGUGAGAUUUAGAAAAUAAAUGAGUGUACCUAGCACUUUCACUAAUGCAUCUAUCCAUUACAACGGGCGGUGUGCGUGCAGUAACAACACCGAGACAAUCCUUGUCCCGCACUUAAAAAAAACUCUGGGCGCUCCAGUGUUUUUGUUUUUGAGACAGGGUCUUGCUCUGUUGCCCUGGCUGGGGUGCAGUGGUGCGAUCAUAGCUCACUGUAGCCUCUACCUCUCUGGCUCAAUCGAUCCUCUCACCCCAGCCUCCCGUGUAGCUGAGACCUCAAGUGCGCACCACCUCACUCAGCUAAUUUUUUAAAAUUUUUUGUAGAGGCGGGGGUCUAACUAUGUUGCCUACGCUGGUCUCGAACUCCUGGGCUCAAGCCAUCCUACCGCGUCAGCCUCCCAAAGUGCUCGGCCAGGCGCUCCAGUUUUUAUCCAGGCAUCUACACUGUAAGAUAGAUGUUGUUCUCCCUUGGUUGUAAGUGGGGAAGCCGAAGCUAGGCGGGCAGGGACUCUCACCCUCACGUACUCACACAAACACUGUCUGCACAGCCUCUUGGGCAGAGCUAGCGCUGGCACCAGUUUAGUUUGGUGCUGAAACCAUACCCCUCUUGCUCUGCAAGAGCCCAUCUCCCCUUAGAAUAUUCUUUCGGGUCCACAGCCCAAGACAAACCUUUGCCACAGGGGAACGCAGAGGAGGAAGCGGGGUGCGAGCACCAGAAUCAGCCCUGGCGUGUCCCGCGGGGUGGUAGAAGGUGGUUUGAAGAACACUCCUUGGUGGUCCUAAUUGCUGCACGUGAGGUCAAGGCAGGGCCGCCCAUCCCAGGCAGAUGAGCUCCAGGAGCCUUCCUCGUGCCUGAGAAGACGGCAAGGAGAAAACACUGCCGGCUGGAAGCCCUCGAGAAUCUCGAAGAAGCCCAGAAUGAAAGGACCAGGCGGCCGGGACUCGGAGCUCCCUAGCCAGGGCGCGCGCAGCCAGGCCUGACGCUUCCCUCCGCCCUCGGCGGCCUCUGCGUCCUCCCAGCACCCGGCAGCCUUGCCAGGGGUCCCGGAUGCCCAGAGCACCCCCCAAGGAGGAGAGAGAAGAGAGGGAGUCCAGGAUGAGAAGACGGGGGGCCAGGGUGGGAGGGGACACUCCUCUUCCCUGGCCGUCCCUAGAAGUCACACACAGACAUUCACUCAAAAAGACACGCAUGCAGAUGCGCACACACAGACACAGGCGCAAUCAUGUAAACGGACACACAGAGACCACAGACGCUCGUGCUCAUACACGCGCUCUCGCUCUUCACACCCUGCACCAGGUGGGCACUCACCCGCCCGCACCCUGGCUGUGCUUUCACAGAUCCCGGGAGAGGGCGGAGCCCGGGCCGGGGGCUGGAGACCGCCCCCGGCCCCGCCCCCACGCCCUCCCAUCUCUCCCUCCUUCCUGCCGUCCCCCGCCUGAGGGAGGGGAGCGGUGCAGCAGACAUCCGAGGGCAGCUGGGACCCCCUGACUCAGCCGACGGUGCUCUCAUCUCUUGCUCUGGGGUAAGCCAGUGGCCAUGCUAUAAGGACACUCAAGCCACCCUAUGAAGAAGCCCACAUGAAGAGGAACUGAGAUAUCUGGCCAACAGCCAGCCAGUCACUGAGCCUGCCAACCACGCUGUGGCAGGUACCUCCAGCCCCAGACACCUGCAGCCUCCACUGAAAGCUCAAUGGCAGCCUCAUGAGACCCUGGACCGGAACCACCCAACGAAGCGGCUCCUGUAUUCCUGAUUGACAGAAACUACGGGAUCAUAAAUGCUUGCUGUUCAGUCUGCCAAGUGUUGGCGUGAUUUGUUAAACAGCAACCAGUAACUAAUACGCCACCCAUGGCUGCCGCGUUCCUGCUGUGGGGCCAGCACUAUUCCAUGCUUAGAGGCUCCAUCAAUACCUGUGAUGGACUAAAUGACAGGGUCUCACUUUUUCACUCAGGCUGGAAUGCAGUGGCACCAUCUUGGCUCAGUGCAGCCUUGACCACCCUGGUUCAAGCGAUCCUCCUGCCUCAUCUCCUCAAGUAGCUAGGUCUGCAGACAUACGCCACCACACCUGGCUAAUUUUUGUAUUUUAGUAGAGACGGGGUUUCACCAUGUUGGCCAGGCUGGUCUUGAACUCCUGACCUCAAGUGAUCUGCCUGCCUCCGCCUCCCAAAGUGCUGGGAUUACAGGCGUGAGCCACCGCACCUGGUCUGCUGCUGCAAUCUUAAGAUGGCCAUAUAAUAUCUCUUAAAACUACAAAUUCCACUUUCCUUCUUCUGUCCUGACCUCAACUUAAUCACAAACAAACAACCUCCCUCCCAAAACACACACACACACUCAUGGCAGUCCCCCCGUCAAGUGUCAGCUAUGUGGUAGUUCGCCCCAUUCUCCUGGGGUGAGAUCUGCAGCUGGCUCUCUGCCCAGGCACUCGGCACUCAGGCCCUCCUUCCCUACCCGGCUGUCAGCUUAGGGGUCCUCCUCCACCUAUCCUCGUGAGAUCUGCAGACAACCCUGUAAGCUCUGAACCAAAGAGGAAGAAAUCCUGGGGAUGACAUAGAGGGCUCUGGACACCUCAUCCCACCAGUCAUUGUCCUGGUCACACUCUCUCCUUGGCAGGGGGCCCGUGACAAUGCUUCCAUUCUCAGAGCAGGUCUCUGGGCCACUCCUGCCCCUGGAGCCUCUGGGAUCGGUUCAGACUCUGUCCCAUAGCACAGCCUCUUCAUCUUUCAACAGGCUCAUCUUCAAGGCUACAGCGGCCAGCCCCCAUGACUAGGCACCUGAUGUCCAUUUUCUCAUUAAACAUUGUGACAAGCCCCGAAGGCAGCCAUUCAGUUUUAUGAAUGAGGAAAGUGGGACUCAAGGAGGUGACGGGGAAGGAAGUGGGUUUAGGUUUAUUCUGGAGCCUGCUCUUUACCACCGUACCACUGCCUCUCCCAGGCCAGUGCACUGGAGCCAGAUGGUAUCAACUGCCAGCUCAAGGACACCUAGGUCAACUUCCCAAAAGAGGCCUAGGGGUUGGGCAAGGAGGCCAUUGAGAUUGUAGAGGCCAGGCCUUGCUUGCCCCUGGCAUUGGGGAGAAUGGGCACCACCCCAGGCCAACUGGGGAAGGGCCAGGCACCAGAGCUGCGUCCUUCUGCCCACUCUUGCUGUAGAGGAUCAGAGUCCAAGACGCCAACUCCAUCAGACACAAGGACCUUCAAGAGCAAGGAACUAGGCUGGGCACGGUGGCUUACGCACUAUGGGGGGCUGAGGCGGGAGGAUCACUUGAGCCCAGGAGUUUGAGACCAGCCUGGGCAACUUAGCAAGACCCCAUAUCUACAAAAAAUCUAAAAAUUAGCUUGGUGUGGCUGGGUGCGGUGGCUCACACCUCUAAUCCCAGCACUUUGGGAUGCCAAGGCAGGUGGAUCACGAGGUCAGGAGUUCAGGACCAGCCUGGCCAACAUGGUGAAACCCCAUGUAUAGUAAAAAUACAAAAAUUAGCUGGGCAUGGUGGUGGGCACCUGCAAUCCCAGCUAUUCGGGAGGCUGAGGCAGGAGAAUCGCUUGAACCCGGGAGGUAGAGGUUGCAGUGGGCCGAGACUGUGCCAUUGCACUCCAGCCUGGGGGACAAGAGCAAGACUUCGUCUCAAAAAAAAAAAAAAAAAUUAGCUUGGUGUGGCGGUGCACACAGUAGUCCUAACUGCUCAGGAGGCUGAGGCAGGAGGAUUGCUUGAGCCCAAGAGGUUGAGGUUGCAGUAAACUAUGAUCGCAGCACUGCACUCCAGACUGGGUGACACAGCGAGACCCUGUUUCUAAAAAAAGGAAAAAACAAAACAAAAACAAACAAGGAACUCUGCCUGGAAGUCCAACUAAGUCCUGGGAAGGUGGGGACGGGGGGUGGGGGUGAGGGGACAAGUGAAAAAGAGCCAGGAAGCCCCUCCUGCAUAGCCGCCUGACUCCCAGAGGCCUCCUGAGUCCUCCUCCCUGGGAUCUGGACUCCCCUCCCCCAACCCAGCACUUCUUCCUGGGAACAAGCCCGUGUUUGGAGGCAGCAUGGUGCAGGGUUAGGAGCAGCCUCUGCCACUUUCUGGCUGGGUAAGACUUAGGUAAGUUACUUCCCCUUUCUGUGCCUCAGUUUCCCCAUCUGUAAAGUGGGAAUCACAGUAGUACUUACCAAACAGGGUUGUCUUUUUU